GUGCCAGCCGCCGCGGUAACACGUAGGCACCAAGCGUUGUCCGGAUUUAUUGGGCGUAAAGAGCUCGUAGGCGGUUCGAUAAGUCGGGUGUGAAAACUUUGGGCUCAACCCAAAGCGUGCAUUCGAUACUGUUGUGACUAGAGUUCGGUAGGGGAGUGGGGAAUUCCUAGUGUAGCGGUGAAAUGCGCAGAUAUUAGGAGGAACACCGGUGGCGAAGGCGCCACUCUGGGCCGAAACUGACGCUGAGGAGCGAAAGCGUGGGUAGCAAACAGGAUUAGAUACCCCAGUAGUCC
This 293-nucleotide ribosomal RNA is filed under the name uncultured bacterium. RNAcentral's name for it is "partial 16S ribosomal RNA". It matches the Rfam family "Bacterial small subunit ribosomal RNA", at positions 505 to 796 of the family's 1533-position model. The record is from RNAcentral.